CCUACGGGAGGCUGCAGUGAGGAAUAUUGGUCAAUGGACGAGAGUCUGAACCAGCCAAGUAGCGUGAAGGAUGACUGCCCUAUGGGUUGUAAACUUCUUUUAUAUGGGAAUAAAAUGUUCCACGUGUGGGAUUUUGUAUGUACCAUAUGAAUAAGGAUCGGCUAACUCCGUGCCAGCAGCCGCGGUAAUACGGAGGAUCCGAGCGUUAUCCGGAUUGAUUGGGUUUAAAGGGAGCGUAGGUGGAUUGUUAAGUCAGUUGUGAAAGUUUGCGGCUCAACCGUAAAAUUGCAGUUGAAACUGGCAGUCUUGAGUACAGUAGAGGUGGGCGGAAUGCGUGGUGUAGCGGUGAAAUGCUUAGAUAUCACGAAGAACUCCGAUUGCGAAGGCAGCUCACUGGACUGCAACUGACACUGAGGCUCGAAAGUGUGGGUAUCAAACAGGAUUAGAUACCCCUGUAGUC
Molecule: ribosomal RNA, 460 nt
Filed under: uncultured bacterium
Lineage: Bacteria
Description: partial 16S ribosomal RNA
Rfam family: Bacterial small subunit ribosomal RNA
Source: RNAcentral